AAUUGGAGGGCAAGUCUGGUGCCAGCAGCCGCGGAUAAUUCCAGCUCCAAUAGCGUAUAUUAAAGUUGUUGCAGUUAAAAAGCUCGAAGUUGAAUUUCGGGAUCAAUAUUUCGGUCAUGCCGUUGGUAUGCACUGUUAUCAUUGAUUUCUCACCUUCUAAAGAACCAUAAUGCCAUUAAUUUGGUGUUACGGGGAAUUAGGACUGUUACCUUGAAAAAAUUAGAGUGUUUAAAGCAGGCUCACGCUUGAAUACAUUAGCAUGGAAUAAUGAAAUAGGACAUCCGAUUCUAUUUUGUUGGUUUCUAGGAUCGAUGUAAUGAUUAAUAGGGAUAGUUGGGGGCAUUAGUAUUCAAUUGUCAGAGGUGAAAUUCUUGGAUUUAUUGAAGACUAACUACUGCGAAAGCAUUUGCCAAGGAUGUUUUCAUUAAUCAAGAACGAAAGUUAGGGGAUCGAAGACGAUCAGAUACCGUCGUAGUCUUAACCAUAAACUAUGCCGACUAGGGAUCGGAUGAUGUUAAUUUUUUAAUGACUCAUUCGGCGCCUUACGGGAAACCAAAGUGU
RNAcentral lists this ribosomal RNA (561 nucleotides) under uncultured Glomus. RNAcentral describes it as "SSU rRNA". It matches the Rfam family "Eukaryotic small subunit ribosomal RNA", at positions 546 to 1106 of the family's 1831-position model. Lineage: Eukaryota; Fungi; Glomeromycota; Glomeromycetes; Glomerales; Glomeraceae. The record is from RNAcentral.